RNAcentral lists this long non-coding RNA (338 nucleotides) under Phoenix dactylifera (date palm). Its description in RNAcentral is "long non-coding RNA (PDAC_LNC021434)". The record is from RNAcentral. Lineage: Eukaryota; Viridiplantae; Streptophyta; Magnoliopsida; Arecales; Arecaceae.
UUAUUUGUGCUUUAGUAUUUGAUAUGAUUUGCUAGUAGUGAUCAAUUUUGUGAUAUAGAAAAUACUUUUGGAAAUAUAAUCAAAUCAUUUCAUUUUACUCACUAUUGGAUAAGUUGCAAAAUGAUUAAUUUAUUAAGAAUAAUCCUAUGAAUUCUCUAUAUGCUUGAUUGAGAGUUUUUAUCCAUGGCAUUAUUGUUUAUUGAUCAUAGAUAUGAUAAUGUGUACUUGGUAUGUUUUUGAAUAUAUGCACUAUGAAUACCAAGAUUAAAGAAACCAUCUUUAGCAUACAAAAUCAACUCAUGCUAGUAUGUACUUAAUCUCAAAAGACCUUGCCAUUG